RNAcentral lists this signal recognition particle RNA (294 nucleotides) under Neogobius melanostomus (round goby). Its description in RNAcentral is "Metazoan signal recognition particle RNA (ENSNMLG00000003676.1)". It matches the Rfam family "Metazoan signal recognition particle RNA". Rfam says of the family: The signal recognition particle (SRP) is a universally conserved ribonucleoprotein. Lineage: Eukaryota; Metazoa; Chordata; Actinopteri; Gobiiformes; Gobiidae. The record is from Rfam by way of RNAcentral.
GCCGGGUGUGGUGGCGCGUGCCUGUAAUCCAAGUUACCGGGAGGCUGAGACUGGUGGAUCGUUUGAGCUCAGGAUCUCUGAGCUGCAGUGGACUAUGUCGAUCGGGUGUCCCAAUAAGUUCGGUAUCGAUAUGGUGCUCUGGGGGAGGCCGGACCACCAGGUCGUCUAAGGAGGGUGCACCGGCCCAGGUCGGAAACGGAGCAGGCCAAAGCCCCCGUGCCGCUCAGUAGUGGGAUCGCGCCUGUGAAUAGAGGCUGUAGUGAGCCUGAGUAAUACAGUGGGACCCAGUCUUUU